This 253-nucleotide ribosomal RNA is filed under the name uncultured bacterium. Its description in RNAcentral is "partial 16S ribosomal RNA". It matches the Rfam family "Bacterial small subunit ribosomal RNA", at positions 524 to 776 of the family's 1533-position model. The record is from RNAcentral.
GACAGAGGGUGCAAGCGUUGUUCGGAAUUACUGGGCGUAAAGCGCGUGUAGGCUGCUUCGCAAGUCGGGUGUGAAAGCCCUGGGCUCAACCUAGGAAGUGCACUCGAAACUGCGAAGCUUGAGUCCUGGAGAGGAAGGCGGAAUUCUCGGUGUAGAGGUGAAAUUCGUAGAUAUCGAGAGGAACACCGGUGGCGAAGGCGGCUCACUGGCCCGAUACUGACGCUGAGGCACGAAAGCGUGGGGAGCAAACAGG